This 253-nucleotide ribosomal RNA is filed under the name uncultured bacterium. RNAcentral describes it as "partial 16S ribosomal RNA". It matches the Rfam family "Bacterial small subunit ribosomal RNA", at positions 524 to 776 of the family's 1533-position model. The record is from RNAcentral.
UACGUAGGGUGCAAGCGUUAAUCGGAAUUACUGGGCGUAAAGCGUGCGCAGGCGGUUUCGUAAGUCUGUCGUGAAAUCCCCGGGCUUAACCUGGGAAUGGCAUUUGGGACUGCAAGGCUCGAGUGCGGCAGAGGAGACUGGAAUUCCUGGUGUAGCAGUGAAAUGCGUAGAUAUCAGGAGGAACACCGAUGGCGAAGGCAGGUCUCUGGGCUGACACUGACGCUCAUGCACGAAAGCGUGGGGAGCAAACAGG